This 82-nucleotide transfer RNA is filed under the name Volvox carteri f. nagariensis. It matches the Rfam family "tRNA". Rfam says of the family: Transfer RNA (tRNA) molecules are approximately 80 nucleotides in length. Their secondary structure includes four short double-helical elements and three loops (D, anti-codon, and T loops). The record is from Rfam by way of RNAcentral. Lineage: Eukaryota; Viridiplantae; Chlorophyta; Chlorophyceae; Chlamydomonadales; Volvocaceae.
GGCUCCGUGGCGUAAUGGUGGCGCGUCGGAUUCCAACAAUGAAAAUAUCCGAAGGUUGUGGGUUCAAUCCCCACCGGGGUCA